Molecule: ribosomal RNA, 207 nt
Filed under: uncultured Chlorobaculum sp.
Lineage: Bacteria; Pseudomonadati; Chlorobiota; Chlorobiia; Chlorobiales; Chlorobiaceae
Description: partial 16S ribosomal RNA
Rfam family: Bacterial small subunit ribosomal RNA
Source: RNAcentral
UGCGCAGGCGGAUUAAUAAGUCGGGGGUUAAAUCCAUGUGCUUAACACAUGCACGGCUUCCGAUACUGUUGAUCUAGAGUCUCGAAGAGGAAGGUGGAAUUUCCGGUGUAACGGUGGAAUGUGUAGAUAUCGGAAAGAACACCAGUGGCGAAGGCAGCCUUCUGGUCGAGUACUGACGCUCAUGCACGAAAGCGUGGAGAGCAAACA